Molecule: ribosomal RNA, 2929 nt
Filed under: Escherichia coli
Lineage: Bacteria; Pseudomonadati; Pseudomonadota; Gammaproteobacteria; Enterobacterales; Enterobacteriaceae
Description: bacterial LSU rRNA
Rfam family: Bacterial large subunit ribosomal RNA
Source: RNAcentral
GGGUUGUGAGGUUAAGCGACUAAGCGUACACGGUGGAUGCCCUGGCAGUCAGAGGCGAUGAAGGACGUGCUAAUCUGCGAUAAGCGUCGGUAAGGUGAUAUGAACCGUUAUAACCGGCGAUUUCCGAAUGGGGAAACCCAGUGUGAUUCGUCACACUAUCAUUAACUGAAUCCAUAGGUUAAUGAGGCGAACCGGGGGAACUGAAACAUCUAAGUACCCCGAGGAAAAGAAAUCAACCGAGAUUCCCCCAGUAGCGGCGAGCGAACGGGGAGCAGCCCAGAGCCUGAAUCAGUGUGUGUGUUAGUGGAAGCGUCUGGAAAGGCGCGCGAUACAGGGUGACAGCCCCGUACACAAAAAUGCACAUGCUGUGAGCUCGAUGAGUAGGGCGGGACACGUGGUAUCCUGUCUGAAUAUGGGGGGACCAUCCUCCAAGGCUAAAUACUCCUGACUGACCGAUAGUGAACCAGUACCGUGAGGGAAAGGCGAAAAGAACCCCGGCGAGGGGAGUGAAAAAGAACCUGAAACCGUGUACGUACAAGCAGUGGGAGCACAGAGCAAUCUGUGUGACUGCGUACCUUUUGUAUAAUGGGUCAGCGACUUAUAUUCUGUAGCAAGGUUAACCGAAUAGGGGAGCCGAAGGGAAACCGAGUCUUAACUGGGCGUUAAGUUGCAGGGUAUAGACCCGAAACCCGGUGAUCUAGCCAUGGGCAGGUUGAAGGUUGGGUAACACUAACUGGAGGACCGAACCGACUAAUGUUGAAAAAUUAGCGGAUGACUUGUGGCUGGGGGUGAAAGGCCAAUCAAACCGGGAGAUAGCUGGUUCUCCCCGAAAGCUAUUUAGGUAGCGCCUCGUGAAUUCAUCUCCGGGGGUAGAGCACUGUUUCGGCAAGGGGGUCAUCCCGACUUACCAACCCGAUGCAAACUGCGAAUACCGGAGAAUGUUAUCACGGGAGACACACGGCGGGUGCUAACGUCCGUCGUGAAGAGGGAAACAACCCAGACCGCCAGCUAAGGUCCCAAAGUCAUGGUUAAGUGGGAAACGAUGUGGGAAGGCCCAGACAGCCAGGAUGUUGGCUUAGAAGCAGCCAUCAUUUAAAGAAAGCGUAAUAGCUCACUGGUCGAGUCGGCCUGCGCGGAAGAUGUAACGGGGCUAAACCAUGCACCGAAGCUGCGGCAGCGACGCUUAUGCGUUGUUGGGUAGGGGAGCGUUCUGUAAGCCUGUGAAGGUGUGCUGUGAGGCAUGCUGGAGGUAUCAGAAGUGCGAAUGCUGACAUAAGUAACGAUAAAGCGGGUGAAAAGCCCGCUCGCCGGAAGACCAAGGGUUCCUGUCCAACGUUAAUCGGGGCAGGGUGAGUCGACCCCUAAGGCGAGGCCGAAAGGCGUAGUCGAUGGGAAACAGGUUAAUAUUCCUGUACUUGGUGUUACUGCGAAGGGGGGACGGAGAAGGCUAUGUUGGCCGGGCGACGGUUGUCCCGGUUUAAGCGUGUAGGCUGGUUUUCCAGGCAAAUCCGGAAAAUCAAGGCUGAGGCGUGAUGACGAGGCACUACGGUGCUGAAGCAACAAAUGCCCUGCUUCCAGGAAAAGCCUCUAAGCAUCAGGUAACAUCAAAUCGUACCCCAAACCGACACAGGUGGUCAGGUAGAGAAUACCAAGGCGCUUGAGAGAACUCGGGUGAAGGAACUAGGCAAAAUGGUGCCGUAACUUCGGGAGAAGGCACGCUGAUAUGUAGGUGAGGUCCCUCGCGGAUGGAGCUGAAAUCAGUCGAAGAUACCAGCUGGCUGCAACUGUUUAUUAAAAACACAGCACUGUGCAAACACGAAAGUGGACGUAUACGGUGUGACGCCUGCCCGGUGCCGGAAGGUUAAUUGAUGGGGUUAGCGGUAACGCGAAGCUCUUGAUCGAAGCCCCGGUAAACGGCGGCCGUAACUAUAACGGUCCUAAGGUAGCGAAAUUCCUUGUCGGGUAAGUUCCGACCUGCACGAAUGGCGUAAUGAUGGCCAGGCUGUCUCCACCCGAGACUCAGUGAAAUUGAACUCGCUGUGAAGAUGCAGUGUACCCGCGGCAAGACGGAAAGACCCCGUGAACCUUUACUAUAGCUUGACACUGAACAUUGAGCCUUGAUGUGUAGGAUAGGUGGGAGGCUUAGAAGUGUGGACGCCAGUCUGCAUGGAGCCGACCUUGAAAUACCACCCUUUAAUGUUUGAUGUUCUAACGUUGACCCGUAAUCCGGGUUGCGGACAGUGUCUGGUGGGUAGUUUGACUGGGGCGGUCUCCUCCUAAAGAGUAACGGAGGAGCACGAAGGUUGGCUAAUCCUGGUCGGACAUCAGGAGGUUAGUGCAAUGGCAUAAGCCAGCUUGACUGCGAGCGUGACGGCGCGAGCAGGUGCGAAAGCAGGUCAUAGUGAUCCGGUGGUUCUGAAUGGAAGGGCCAUCGCUCAACGGAUAAAAGGUACUCCGGGGAUAACAGGCUGAUACCGCCCAAGAGUUCAUAUCGACGGCGGUGUUUGGCACCUCGAUGUCGGCUCAUCACAUCCUGGGGCUGAAGUAGGUCCCAAGGGUAUGGCUGUUCGCCAUUUAAAGUGGUACGCGAGCUGGGUUUAGAACGUCGUGAGACAGUUCGGUCCCUAUCUGCCGUGGGCGCUGGAGAACUGAGGGGGGCUGCUCCUAGUACGAGAGGACCGGAGUGGACGCAUCACUGGUGUUCGGGUUGUCAUGCCAAUGGCACUGCCCGGUAGCUAAAUGCGGAAGAGAUAAGUGCUGAAAGCAUCUAAGCACGAAACUUGCCCCGAGAUGAGUUCUCCCUGACUCCUUGAGAGUCCUGAAGGAACGUUGAAGACGACGACGUUGAUAGGCCGGGUGUGUAAGCGCAGCGAUGCGUUGAGCUAACCGGUACUAAUGAACCGUGAGGCUUAACCUUACAACGCCGAAG